ACGAUAUUUCCUCACCUCAAACCUACGUUUAACUUCAGGUAUCUGUCGACCGGCUCCACGCUUUUGGUUUCGUCGUGUGUUUAAAGGCACACGUCAACUGAAUGAUGCCUGAGCACAUGAUUGCGGAAAAUGUAGUGCAUGAACUACCCAUGUGAAAGAAGAGGGAGGGAAACGGAACAAAGGAGCAGCUUGGAUUCCCCUGAGUCUAAGCUUCCCUUUGACCUCCGCCUCCUGAACAUUACAUCAGCAGAAGUCAGAGACCGUCAGGAAGCGAAAACAAUGGCAGGGAAACUGGAAACACACUCCUCCACCUUCACUUUGCCUCCAAAACACUUUCUGGAUUACAAUGCUUUUGGGUGAUUGUAUGAAUUGAUGAAUUGGGGUGGAGGGAAUUCACCGGAACAACUAGGUUUGACCUUGAUAAAAGUUUACUACCUCGUUUGCACUGACUGUACUGACCGAAACACAUGUUACAAAACACCCAAUUUGUAAAGAAAUCAAUUAAAAUGUGGCUGAGAGUCACCAAAAUGAGCCUUGAAGCAUCAAAAUGCAUGCUCCGACAAUGUAAAUUGACUGGCACACACCCUUUUCACUACUUCUGUUUGCACCUAAAUCUAUUUCCAUUUUGUCUUUAUGUAUCAAUUUUCCUCAAGCACUUUGUUUUCUUUUAGUUACUCUGUCAGUUAUUUGCACUUUGUAUGAUCACAUUAAACCGCAGUAAACAGUAACAUAAACCAGCUGUGAAUUCAAAUA
Thunnus maccoyii (southern bluefin tuna) is the source of this 753-nucleotide long non-coding RNA. RefSeq lists it as uncharacterized. NCBI's taxonomy places the organism in Eukaryota, Metazoa, Chordata, Actinopteri, Scombriformes, Scombridae. The record is from RefSeq and is a predicted model, not a curated record. The transcript has 3 exons.